AACGCGAAGAACCUUACCAGGUCUUGACAUCCCUCUGACCGUCCUAGAGAUAGGGCUUUCCUUCGGGACAGAGGAGACAGGUGGUGCAUGGUUGUCGUCAGCUCGUGUCGUGAGAUGUUGGGUUAAGUCCCGCAACGAGCGCAACCCUUGAACUUAGUUGCCAGCACUUUGGGUGGGCACUCUAGGUUGACUGCCGGUGACAAACCGGAGGAAGGCGGGGAUGACGUCAAAUCAUCAUGCCCCUUAUGACCUGGGCUACACACGUACUACAAUGGCCGGUACAACGGGUCGCGAAGCCGCGAGGCGGAGCCAAUCCCAGCAAAGCCGGUCUCAGUUCGGAUUGCAGGCUGCAACUCGCCUGCAUGAAGUCGGAAUUGCUAGUAAUCGCGGAUCAGCAUGCCGCGGUGAAUACGUUCCCGGGCCUUGUACACACCGUACGUC
Molecule: ribosomal RNA, 441 nt
Filed under: uncultured bacterium
Lineage: Bacteria
Description: bacterial SSU rRNA
Rfam family: Bacterial small subunit ribosomal RNA
Source: RNAcentral